Molecule: long non-coding RNA, 668 nt
Organism: Acinonyx jubatus (cheetah)
Lineage: Eukaryota; Metazoa; Chordata; Mammalia; Carnivora; Felidae
Exons: 3
Source: RefSeq, a predicted model, not a curated record
UCCUAGCACAGCGGGCUGCACCUUGCCCGUGCCCAAGGUUGGGGGACCCAUUUAAAGCUGCAGGCAGCCUUCCUGCAAAGACACUGGCUCACAAUGGAUGGUUGCUUCUGAGCGGGACACCAGGACACCCGCUUAGGGGCCUAGACUCUAACAGCUCCCCCGGUCCAUGGAGCUGUCGGCUUAAAGACGGUUCCUCUCGAGAUGCAGUGAGCCACGCAUAAGUUCCUCAAACGGCCUGGUAUGUGACAAGGGCUCUGCAAAGACUGGCUUCCGAGUCAUGGGUCCGAAAUGGGUCUGCAAGAGGCCCUGGAAGGCCCUGGAAGAGGAAGAGAACUGCCCAAGGCACUACCUCUGGUUAGUGCGAGAGCUGACUCCUCCCCAAUAUCCCCACCCUCGGAGCCAGGGUUUCCCGAGGUAGAGAAAACUCCACGUGACACAGUGUGCAGCCGAGGUAUUCAGAGAGAGAUUUAUGCACUGCUCUGGUGGGAAGCACCGCUCAGCCUGGGGUCUUUCCUCUUGACAAUGAGAGGUAAAAGUAAACCCAGCGACAGUGACUUUCUCUGUUGCUGGAAGUCACAUCAAGUUCAACGCUAAUAAUUGCAGAGGCACCCUUCCCAAAUCGCAGAUUCAUUACGGAACAGAUUUCAAAAUAAACGUCCGGGUUCCGC